Molecule: ribosomal RNA, 257 nt
Filed under: uncultured bacterium
Lineage: Bacteria
Description: partial 16S ribosomal RNA
Rfam family: Bacterial small subunit ribosomal RNA
Source: RNAcentral
GACAGAGGGUGCAAACGUUGUUCGGAAUUACUGGGCGUAAAGCGAGUGUAGGCGGUUCGGUAAGUCGGAUGUGAAAGCCCCGGGCUCAACCCGGGAAGUGCACUCGAUACUGCCGAGCUAGAGUAUCGGAGAGGUUGGUGGAAUUCUCGGUGUAGAGGUGAAAUUCGUAGAUAUCGAGAGGAACACCGGUGGCGAAGGCGGCCAACUGGACGAAUACAUGACGCUGGAGAACUCGAAAGCGUCGGGGAGCAAACAGG